Molecule: ribosomal RNA, 468 nt
Filed under: uncultured bacterium
Lineage: Bacteria
Description: partial 16S ribosomal RNA
Rfam family: Bacterial small subunit ribosomal RNA
Source: RNAcentral
GACGAACGCUGGCGGCGUGCUUAACACAUGCAAGUCGAACGGAAAGGCCCUGCUUUUGUUGGGUGCUCGAGUGGCGAACGGGUGAGUAACACGUGAGUAACCUGCCCUUGACUUUGGGAUAACUUCAGGAAACUGGGGCUAAUACCGGAUAGGAGCUCCUGCUGCAUGGGGGGGGUUGGAGAGUGUCGGCGGUGGGGGAUCGACUCGCUGCUUAUCAGUUUGUUGGUGGGGUAGUGGCUUACCAAGGCUUUGACGGGUAGCCUGCAUGGGAGGGUGGCCGGCGACCAUGGGACUGCGAUAGGGAGCAGAAUGCAAUGGGCGGCAGUAGUCGAGAGCAUUACACAGUGAGGGGGAGUGUGAUACGGCAACGCCGCGUGCGUAAAGCCGGGCUUUGGGUUGUAAACAGCUUUCUAAUGUGCCGAAGAGUGAGUGACGGUACUGGGUCAAGAAGCCACGGCUAACUACGUG